Long non-coding RNA from Cornus florida, 1915 nucleotides. RefSeq lists it as uncharacterized. The transcript is spliced from 3 exons. The record is from RefSeq and is a predicted model, not a curated record. Lineage: Eukaryota; Viridiplantae; Streptophyta; Magnoliopsida; Cornales; Cornaceae.
CUGAAUUCUCUAUUCACACUAGCAAGAAAAUAUCCUGGCCUACUCGUUAACUAGUGAUUCCGCAACUCGGUGUCCUGGCCUACUAGUGGUGGUCGAAAGCGUUACAGAACAUUUCCGAACACGGGUUUGGUCAGAAUCAAUCGAACUGCAUCAAUUACUCCGCCACCAGCUUCCCUAAAAUCAUCCUCAUUGCCACUACAGUCUACAUACAUAUCUCUAGUAUUGCAUCGGUAAGGGAUUGUUGGCACCCAUUUCGAAAACGGUGAACAAGGAGAGGGUGCAGAGCCAACAAUAUCUUCACCGUGUGGGGCGGUGGGUCAUGACACAGACAUGUGGCAGAAGCUAAAAACGGACACAAAUUGGAAAACCUAAAUUGUGUGUGUGUGUGUAAAAAUAAAAAUAAAAAUAAAUAAAAUGUAGUAGAUACAUGAGAAGAAGAAGCAGACCCAAUUUGGGUUGUGCCGGCGAAGUGACUGGAGCUUUGUGGGUCUCCAUUGCGAGUUUCCGAUAGCUUCGUUCGGGUAAAGCGGCUUCACCGGUGCCGGAGAUUUCAUGGAAUCUGAUUUUCUUUGCUCGAAGCUGAAUUUGGGGAUUCACAUCGAUUGGUGAACACAGGUUUCAAAGGAGACCAAAAAGCUCUGAUUACAACGGAGUCUUUGGAUUAUGCAGCGUUGCUCCAUAUCUCGAUAUCUGAUGUGUUGUUGUUCAUGGCUUCUGGCUCUGAUUAAUGCGUAUGAGUAAUUUUAGAGAGAGAGAAAGAGAAGGCAGUAGGGGUAGAGAGAGCCAUGGCAGAAGAGAGGAAGAGAGAGCGUGUUUUGGUAUUAUUGGAAUUUUGUGAAUAUCUAGGGCUAUUAACGUCUUUUUAGUGAGCCAAUAUCAAAGUUUUAUAUACCAUUCUAACCAUUAUAUGUUGAUAUUAUAAAUGAAAAGGAAAAAUAACAAAACCUUCCUAUAUUGUUAAAUAGUAUAAAAAAUCUCACCAAAAAUUAAAAAAUAUUAUCAAAUUACUUCCAAAUCGAUAUAAAAUAAUAAAAUUAUUUUUAUAAUUUAAUUAUUAAAUUUAAAAUUUAUAAAUAAUAUUAUUAUAAAAUUACAAAAAUACGUGAGACCCUCAAUACCAACUCCUCCUUCCUAAAACUCUCACCACAACACUCAGAUGCUCUGCUCAUCCAAUCAUAUCUCUCCACACUCAGAUGGCUAUCAUUGUUAUUACUCUGAGCCCCACACAGAGAGAGAGAGUGAGAGAGACUGUUUGGUUUAAUUGCAAGAAGUGAUCUGUGAGCAGAGGAAGCAGAGGAAUAGAGAUUUAGAGAGAGAGAAAGAGAUGGGGCUCCUUACCAACAGAGUGAAAAUAAAUGAGAUCAGACCAGGCGACCAUAUCUACACUUAUAGAGCUUAUUCUCAUCACGGUAACCACACUUUGUCUCUCUACUUUCUCUCUCCGCACGUAUUCUCUCUGUACUGUUGACCCAACAAUGAUGAUUUUCAAGAACCUUCUCUGAAACAUGCAAUGUACUUUUUUUUUUUUUUUCCGGAAAAUGGGUAAUUUAAGUUUUUUUUUCUUCUAUAUUCGUUUUAAUUAUUUACCUGGUUCAUUUUAACUUUUAGAAUCUAUGGCGAAUGUGCAAUUGGAUAUUAGGGUUUUCCUUUUUAUGUUUUUAUUUUUGUGGUUAGUAUAGGGUAUUAGGGUUAUCUUCACAAUUUCUGAGUUGUGUUUCAUCGAUGUCUGAUAUUGGCUAAAAUAAAAAAAAUGUUUCAUCAUGAUGUCUGAUAAAGCAUCAAAAUGUUUAGUUGCCUAGGAAUGGGUUUCUUUGAGGGAUUUGGUGAAUAAAUGUACUCUUCCUGAGUCUUCUCCCUCAAGGAGGUGUUGAAGGGAGAAGAAUCGGGUAUUUUUUAAAUUUUAUAAUAAUAUUAU